AGCCAUGCAUGUCCAAGUACAUGCCGCAAUAAGGCGAAGCCGCGAAUGGCUCAUUAAAUCAGUUGUGGUUCCCUGGUUAAAACCCUUCCUACUUGGAUAACUGUGGCAAUUCUAGAGCUAAUACAUGCAGCAGAGCUCCGACCUUAGGGGACGAGCGCUUUUAUUAGACCAAAACCAAUCGGGCCUCGUGCCCGUGAACUGUGGUGACUCUGGAUAACUUUCGGCAGAUCGCACGGGCUUGUCCCGGCGAUAAAAUCUUCGAGUGUCUGUUUUAUCAACUGUCGACGGUACGCUACGCGCGUACCGUGGUCGUAACGGGUGACGGGGAAUCAGGGUUCGAUUCCGGAGAGGGAGCCUGAGAAACGGCUACCACAUCCAAGGAAGGCAGCAGGCGCGCAAAUUACCCAAUCCCGGCUCGGGGAGGUAGUGACGAAAAAUAACAAUACGGGACUCUUUUGAGACCCCGUAAUUGGAAUGAGUGUACUCUAAAUCCUUGAACGAGUAUCUAUUGGAGGGAAAGUCUGAUGCCAGCAGCCGCGGUAAUUUCAGCUCCAAUGGCGUAUAUUAAAGUUGUUGCGGUUAAAAAGCUCGUAGUUGAAUCUCAGUUACGGAGGGUCGGUGCGCCUACCGGCGUACCCGGCCCGUUCUGAACACGUCGCCGGUUUGCCUCGGUGAUCUUCACCGGUUGUCUGGGUUGACCGGCAGUUUUACUUUGAAAAAAUUAGAGUGCUCAGAGCAGGCGGAGAGCCUGGAUAAUGGUGCAUGGAAUAAUGGAAGAAGGCCCCGGAUCCGUGUUAUUGGUUUUCGGAACCCGGGGUAAUGAUUAAGAGGGACGGACGGGGGCAUUCGUAUUGCGACGCUAGAGGUGAAAUUCUUGGACCGUCGCAAGACGAACUACUGCGAAAGCAUUUGCCAAGAAUGUUUCCAUUAGUCAAGAACGAAAGUUAGAGGUUCGAAGGCGAUCAGAUACCGCCCUAGUUUUAACCGUAAACGAUGCCAGCCAGCAAUCCGGCUGUGUUACUUCAUGACACGCCGGGAAGCUUCCGGGAAACCAAAGCCUUUGGGUUCCGGGGGAAGUAUGGUUGCAAAGCUUAAACUUAAAGGAAUUGACGGAAGGGCACCACAAGCCAUGGAGCAUGCGGUUCAAUUUGACUCAACACGGGGAACCUUACCCAGCCCGGACACAGGAAGGAUUGACAGAUUAAGAGCUCUUUCUUGAUUCUGUGAGUGGUGGUGCAUGGCCGUUCUUAGUUGGUGGAGCGAUUUGUCUGCUUUAUUGCGAUAACGAACGAGACUCUAGCCUAUCAAAUAGACGCUCCGAUCUUCUUGAGUCGGACGGUCUUCUUAGGGGGACAGGCGGCGACUAGCCGCACGAGACAGAGCAAUAACAGGUCUGUGAUGCCCUCAGAUGUCCGGGGCCACACGCGCGCUACAUUGAAGGAAUCAGCGUGUGCUUUCCUGGUCCGACAGGACUGGGUAACCCGUUGAAUCUCCUUCGUGCUCGGGAUAGGGGCUUGCAAUUGUUCCCCUUGAACGAGGAAUGCCUAGUAGGCGCGAGUCAUCAGCUCGUGCCGAUUAGGUCCCUGCCCUUUGUACACACCGCCCGUCGCUACAAGCGAUUGAACGGUUUAGUGAGGUCUUCGGACUGGCGCUCGGUUCGGCCCUCCGGACCAGCCGACGUGCCGGAAAGAUGACCGAACUUGAUCGUUUAGAGCAU
RNAcentral lists this ribosomal RNA (1717 nucleotides) under Nesticella falcata. RNAcentral's name for it is "SSU rRNA". It matches the Rfam family "Eukaryotic small subunit ribosomal RNA". The record is from RNAcentral. Lineage: Eukaryota; Metazoa; Arthropoda; Arachnida; Araneae; Nesticidae.